Molecule: long non-coding RNA, 307 nt
Filed under: Pan troglodytes (chimpanzee)
Lineage: Eukaryota; Metazoa; Chordata; Mammalia; Primates; Hominidae
Description: long non-coding RNA NONPTRT001492
Source: RNAcentral
UUGUACCCUCCUCCCAAAGUGGCCCAUCACGGGAGUGUGUUGCCGUGGCAACGUGCUCAGUGGGGAAGCCACUCGGCAUUACCCAGUAAUUCACAUCUGUGCUUGUUUCCCGGACACAUUGUUUAGCUCCUAUUUAUAAGUGAGAACAUGUAGUAUUUUUCUGUUUCUGGGUUCUUUCACUGAAGAUAAAGGCCUCCAGUUUCAUCCAUGUUGCUGCGAUCUUUUCUUUUUUUUUUUUUGAGACGGAGUCUCCCUCUGUCGCCCAGGCUGGAGUGCAGUGGCACGAUCUCAGCUCACUGCAACCUCU